CAGCCGCCACGGGAAUACGAGGGGGGCAAGCGUUGUUCGGAAUUAUUGGGCGUAAAGGGCUCGCAGGCGGUUUCUUAAGUCUGAUGUGAAAGCCCCCGGCUCAACCGGGGAGGGUCAUUGGAAACUGGGAAACUUGAGUGCAGAAGAGGAGAGUGGAAUUCCACGUGUAGCGGUGAAAUGCGUAGAGAUGUGGAGGAACACCAGUGGCGAAGGCGACUCUCUGGUCUGUAACUGACGCUGAGGAGCGAAAGCGUGGGGAGCGAACAGGAUUAGAUACCCGCGUAGUCCCUGUCUCUUAUAC
Molecule: ribosomal RNA, 301 nt
Filed under: uncultured bacterium
Lineage: Bacteria
Description: partial 16S ribosomal RNA
Rfam family: Bacterial small subunit ribosomal RNA
Source: RNAcentral